UACGGGAGGGGCAAGCGUUGUUCGGAUUUACUGGGCGUAAAGGGCGCGUAGGCGGCGUGUUAAGUCAGCUGUGAAAUCUCCAAGCUUAACUUGGAACGGUCAGCUGAUACUGAUGUGCUAGAGUGCAGAAAGGGCAAUCGGAAUUCUUGGUGUAGCGGUGAAAUGCGUAGAUAUCAAGAGGAACACCUGAGGCGAAGGCGGGUUGCUAGGCUGACACUGACGCUGAGGCGCGAAAGCUAGGGUAGCAAACGGG
Molecule: ribosomal RNA, 253 nt
Filed under: uncultured bacterium
Lineage: Bacteria
Description: partial 16S ribosomal RNA
Rfam family: Bacterial small subunit ribosomal RNA
Source: RNAcentral